This 3261-nucleotide long non-coding RNA is filed under the name Homo sapiens (human). Its description in RNAcentral is "HSALNT0379870". Lineage: Eukaryota; Metazoa; Chordata; Mammalia; Primates; Hominidae. The record is from RNAcentral.
GCUGACUCCAAGUGGAGCAAAGCCCAGGUCUUGACAUAGAUACAGAUAACAUACACGCCCAGAUGAUGUCACAAUCAGCUGUAUCUAAACAGAGCAGAGCUCAGGUGACAUCACAGAACAGGCAGAGGCAGUUCAGGGGUAUUCUGGUUGCCUUACCCAGCUCUGAAGUCUGUCAGCCUCUUCAGAUGUCACUUGCCAUGUGGUAAGGAAGUGUAGUCAGCAGCUGGUGCAGUGGGAAGAAGAGAAAGGAAGUUCCCCAAGACAAAAACAUCUCGGCAGACCGUGAUCAUGGGCUACAUUCUCCGUACCAGCUUCAUAGCUCCAGUGAGAAAAUAAAUUCCUGCAUCCAGGAGAUGUGGAGUAAGAGAUACAGCUGCCCUUGACCAUAUUUCUUACUUCCGAGAAGAUCGUAGCAGUAAUUCAGAAUCUCAUCCAGGAUACCUCAUCACAGGCUGGAGUGCAGUGUCAUGAGCUUGGCUCACUACAGCCUCCAUCUUCUGUGCUUAAGGAUCCUUCCCUCUCAACCUCCAAGGUAGCUGAGACUACAGGCAACAUUCGAAACCCAGGUGCCACUCCUUCAGGAAGGUACCAUCAAGCUCCAAGGACUCAUCCUCUUUCUCCUUCCCCACUACCUAGUCAUUAGAGCGUCAGCAUCCACUUCCUGAAAGGAAGAUGCCUGUUUUUCACAUAUCCCAGAAAGCCUCAUUUUAGGACAGCAUUUAGCAGAGUGUAUUCAGGAUCCCACUAACCUUUUCGGAAGACAUGACUUCCAGAUGAUAUAAGGCAAGAAUAAGAAAUUUCAGUGACAGGGAACAGAAAUCAUAUUUCUGCAUUCAGGAUCAUGUUUUCUUGGCUCCAUCAGGAACUGUGCAGGACUGUGCACUCUGUUGAUACUCACAUGGUGGAAUUAUAUUGCCCUUGGCCAACCCUAAAGCCAUCAAGAUAGCAGGUUUGGAAUAAUUCACUGUCGAAGUCUUCUUGAGCUGAGCAGUCAUGUGAGCUUGGAAGAUGAUCCCUCUCCAGCUGAUCCUUCAGCUCAGGCCAUCAUCUACAUCUGGAUUCCUGACCCGGAGAAACUAUGAGUAAUGUGUGCUGCUUUUGAGCCACUAAGCUACAUGAAUUAAUGAAGGAUCAUUAUUAAGUUUUUAAUGGGUCAAGAGAAAGUUACCACUGAGGUCUUCUCUACCUGGGCAACAAUUGACUCCUAACAACCACUAUAAGCUUGGAAGAUGAUCCCUCCCCAGCUGAUCCUUCAGGUCUCUACUUUUUGUAGCCUGGGGAUUUUCUACUCCCCCAACAGCCAGAUGAGGCAGAAACCCCUACAGACAUCCCUAUGUGCCUCCUGUGCAAGUGCAGUUGCCCCUUGAAGGCAGUUCUCCUGCUGCAGACCACGCCCACCAAGGGCAGAGUCACAGCCACUGCAGCUGAGCUCAGAGCCUUCUGUGGGGUCUGCAGGGGCAAGGCCAGCUGUCCCCUGGGAUAGUUUGAAGAAUGCAGUUUGUUUGUAUAAUAAAGAUGUUUCUCUACGUCAUUCAUCUUGCUAAUCAAGGACGUUUAACAGCUUCAGACUUUCCUGGUAAUAUUUGUUCUUGCCUUUUUUUGGCAAAUAUAGUUAACACUUCUAUGCAUUUUUUACCUCACAUAAACAUCAUCUAAAACCAUUCAUAUUUCUGUAUUGCGUAUUAAUGCUUUUCAUUCCUGUAUAUAAAAAUGCAUUCAUAAUCGCUUUUCAAAAUACAUUUUCAGUUACCUUUUCAAGCAUCAUUCUUUACUAAUUGAAUGGAAAUAUCACUUUUAUUGAGAAAGACAGAUGUUACACAAUUUUCAUUUUAGUAUUUUCUAGAAAUUUGCUGUGAAAUACCUCAGGUUGAAAAGGAGAGGGACACAGGCUUUUGUGAGGACCAUAAGACAAAAUUUACUGAGAGUCACAUGCUUAAAAUAAUCUUUCAUUGUUUGCACUAUAUGGCUUAGUUUGUUCUAAUUGUGAAAGGUCACAGGCAUUAAUUUGUGUGGAGGCAACACCAAAAAUCCCAUUGUGAAUGCAGAGAAUCACUUUGUUACUGUGCAAGUAAGAAUGUCCUCAUAUUGUUUGUUUUUAUUCUUACCAAAAAGCUGUAGACAUUGUCUGGAAUCUUUGAUUCCUUCCAACUUGUUUUUGUAAAUGUCUGCAUGAUGUGUUUUUGUCCAGACAACCAAUAUAUAGACAUGUAUUUUUUUUUUACUCUUUGAUGAGUGAUUAUUAAAUUGUUUUUAGUUUUCAUUGAAAUAAAAAUGCCAUUCAGGAAAUGUCAUACAUCUCCAGGCAGCAUAUAUUUUUAUAACAUGGCCUUGGAGAAAAAGAAUUAAAAACUUUAUUUUCUGUUAUCAGUGAACUAGCAAAAUAUUUUUAAAAGUUAUCACAGGUGUGAGUUUUUUUUAGAUUUUAUGUUUUUUUGACUCAGUUAAUAAUAUACCUACCUCAGUUAUCUAGCUGCUGUGUCAAUAUCCACUGUUUUAGGCUAAACCUUUUAUACUCCUCUGGCAUAGUUUGCAUGUGAACAGAUGGUUCAGUGUCCUAACUAGUGAAGGUGAGAUUCCUAAAGCACAUUUGAACAGGAAUUUAGGACUCAAGAAGCAAUUCUGAGUUCUGAGUAUAUUAAAGGUAGGCUAGAUUAAGUUAUUAUGUUUGGUAAGUUAUGUGUAUUACAUGUAUUUUCCAAUUAAAUUAUUUUCAACUUACGAUGGGUUUAUCAGGAAGUACACCCAUCAUAAAUUGAGGAUCAUCUGUAAUUUAAAUGGAGGUUUCUAUUUAAAAGAGCAUAAUGCAUUUCUCAUCAAAAGAAGGAAAACCAGUAAUUUUUAGGUCCUUUAUUUGUGUCCCUGAAAAUCUUCAUAAAUUCUAUAAAAAGAGUGAAAACAGGUGAAUCAAAACACAGAUUCCAUUCUGUCGUAUAAAACAGAACAUCACAAAUCAUUUUCAUAGAUAGCUUUUUUCUAGUUUUUAGAGCUGGAUAUACGUUUUUGUUUUUUGUUUUACAUGAUUCAACGGCCUCAGUAAUGUCACUUCAUAGAUUCUACGAAAGAGUGUUUGGAACCUGCUGAAUCAAAACACAGGUUCCAUUCUGUGAUAAUAAAAAUGUACAUCACAAAGCGUUUUCACAGACAGGAUGUUUCUAGUUUUUUAUAGUUGGAUAUUCGUUUCUUUUAAAUUUGGGGAUGACCUUGCCCUGCUGUCUUUCACUACAUACAUACCACAGCUAUAUAGUUUGCAUGGAGUACUGG